UUCUACGAAUAUUUUAGAGAAAUUAACUGUGAUGAUUGUGUAAUAUUUUGAAUGUAACAUUGGAAAGUAUCAAAAAUAUAUUCCUAAAAUAUAAUUCAUAAAGUUUUGAUGACUAUGAUGAAUAAUUUCUAUUUGACUCCAUUUUUGAAAUGAAACAAAGGAUACGUUUAAUUUAAUUUCUCUGGACCAAUGUAUGUAUUUUAGCUUUUUUAUAGUAUAUAAUCGAAAAUUUAAUACUUAUUUUCCAUUUUUUAGUUCAAUUAAGGUUUAUUCAUUCAACUUAGGUAUUUGAAUGAAGUGUUACAAGAACCGGAAGUUAGGUUCCGGAAACUUCAAUGCUUGAAGGACACAAGCAUUCGAACUUGUCAGAAAUUAUUCCACGAAAGUGAGCAAAUGAUGAAUUCGUACCGAAUCGCCUAUCGAACUUUAAUCAUUCAUUGUAUGUAAAUUAUCCUGGUGACCUUAAAAUGGUAAUUUCUUACAAUUAGUUGCACAUGCUCGAAAGUCUUUUCAUAAAACAUAAUGAAGUUCAAGCACGUGGAUGAAGAAAGUAUCCUCGCAUCCUUGCUUUCACAAAGAAAAUGUGACAAUUCAUUACUGGAAAGUCAUCCAUAAACGAUCUUCUUCAACAAAUUGCGUAUACAACAAAUCGGCGUACUAGUAUCUUAUUUUAAUAGAAGUACGAAGUUCGAAUGUAAAUCGGUGCGUAUAAUAUAAAUACAAUUCAACAUCAUAUCUACCUACUAAUACGCAACAUCUAUACAUCAAAACUUAGCUUGUUCGUACUUUCCGAAUCCGGACUCGAGGAGCGCAAAGAUUCUAGCAAAGCGAAUAAGAACCAAAUGCUGAUAGGACU
This is a long non-coding RNA of Osmia bicornis bicornis, 856 nucleotides long. RefSeq lists it as uncharacterized. The record is from RefSeq and is a predicted model, not a curated record. The transcript has 4 exons. NCBI's taxonomy places the organism in Eukaryota, Metazoa, Arthropoda, Insecta, Hymenoptera, Megachilidae.